GACGAACGCUGGCGGCGUGCUUAACACAUGCAAGUCGAACGGAAAGGCCCUGCUUUUGUGGGGUGCUCGAGUGGCGAACGGGUGAGUAACACGUGAGUAACCUGCCCUUGACUUUGGGAUAACUUCAGGAAACUGGGGCUAAUACCGGAUAGGAGCUCCUGCUGCAUGGGGGGGGUUGGAAAGUUUCGGCGGUUGGGGAUGGACUCGCGGCUUAUCAGCUUGUUGGUGGGGUAGUGGCUUACCAAGGCUUUGACGGGUAGCCGGCCUGGGAGGGUGACCGGCCCCAUUGGGACUGAGGUACGGCCCAGACUCCUACGGGAGGCAGCAGUGGGGAAUAUUGCCCAAUGGGCGGAAGCCUGAUGCGGCAACGCCGCGUGCGGGAUGACGGCCUUCGGGUUGUAAACCGCUUUCGCCUGUGACGAAGCGUGAGUGACGGUAAUGGGUAAAGAAGCACCGGCUAACUACGUG
RNAcentral lists this ribosomal RNA (468 nucleotides) under uncultured bacterium. RNAcentral's name for it is "partial 16S ribosomal RNA". It matches the Rfam family "Bacterial small subunit ribosomal RNA", at positions 28 to 507 of the family's 1533-position model. The record is from RNAcentral.